UACGAAGGGGGCUAGCGUUGCUCGGAAUCACUGGGCGUAAAGCGCACGUAGGCGGCUUUUUAAGUCAGGGGUGAAAUCCUGGAGCUCAACUCCAGAACUGCCUUUGAUACUGAGAGGCUCGAGUCCGGGAGAGGUGAGUGGAACUGCGAGUGUAGAGGUGAAAUUCGUAGAUAUUCGCAAGAACACCAGUGGCGAAGGCGGCUCACUGGCCCGGUACUGACGCUGAGGUGCGAAAGCGUGGGGAGCGAACAGG
Molecule: ribosomal RNA, 253 nt
Filed under: uncultured bacterium
Lineage: Bacteria
Description: partial 16S ribosomal RNA
Rfam family: Bacterial small subunit ribosomal RNA
Source: RNAcentral